RNAcentral lists this ribosomal RNA (506 nucleotides) under uncultured Desulfobulbus sp. RNAcentral describes it as "bacterial SSU rRNA". It matches the Rfam family "Bacterial small subunit ribosomal RNA", at positions 903 to 1382 of the family's 1533-position model. The record is from RNAcentral. Lineage: Bacteria; Pseudomonadati; Thermodesulfobacteriota; Desulfobulbia; Desulfobulbales; Desulfobulbaceae.
UUGCCAGCCCGCUCAGAAACUUAAAUGAAUUGACGGGGCCCGCACAAGCGGUGGAGUAUGUGGUUUAAUUCGAUGCAACGCGAAGAACCUUACCUGGUCUUGACAUCCCGGAGACCCUUAGGAAACUAGGGGGUGCUUCCAUCUGGAAGAAUCUGGAGACAGGUGCUGCAUGGCUGUCGUCAGCUCGUGUCGUGAGAUGUUGGGUUAAGUCCCGCAACGAGCGCAACCCUUGCCUUUAGUUGCCAGCAGUUCGGCUGGGCACUCUAAAGGGACUGCCGGUGUUAAACCGGAGGAAGGUGGGGAUGACGUCAAGUCCUCAUGGCCUUUAUGACCAGGGCUACACACGUACUACAAUGGCCGAUACAAAGGGCAGCGACACUGCGAGGUGAAGCCAAUCCCGUAAAAUCGGUCUCAGUCCGGAUUGGAGUCUGCAACUCGACUCCAUGAAGUUGGAAUCGCUAGUAAUCGUGGAUCAGCAUGCCACGGUGAAUACGUUCCCGGGCCUU